GCCUUGCUAGCUCAAUCGGUAGAGCGUGUGACUUUUACAGUGAUGGGUUCACUGCAGUUACGUAAUCACAAGGUUGCGGGUUCGAUCCCCGCGUGAGGAU
Mycena polygramma is the source of this 100-nucleotide non-coding RNA. NCBI's taxonomy places the organism in Eukaryota, Fungi, Basidiomycota, Agaricomycetes, Agaricales, Mycenaceae. The record is from the annotation of a GenBank genome assembly.